This 259-nucleotide unclassified non-coding RNA is filed under the name Clonostachys sp. RNAcentral describes it as "partial contains 5.8S ribosomal RNA, internal transcribed spacer 2, and large subunit ribosomal RNA". The record is from RNAcentral. Lineage: Eukaryota; Fungi; Ascomycota; Sordariomycetes; Hypocreales; Bionectriaceae.
CGCACAUUGCGCCCGCCAGUAUUCUGGCGGGCAUGCCUGUCUGAGCGUCAUUUCAACCCUCAGGUCUCCUUGGACCUGGUGUUGGGGCUCGGCCUGCCCCCUGUGGGAGGGCCGUCCCCUAAAUCUAGUGGCGGACCCGCUGUGGCCUCCUCUGCGUAGUAGUGAUACCCCGCAUGUGGAGUGCAGUGAGCCCCUGCCGUUAAACCCCCAACUUCUUCAGGUUGACCUCAGAUCAGGUAGGAAUACCCGCUGAACUUAA